GAUGAACGCUGGCGGCGUGCUUAACACAUGCAAGUCGAACGAUGAAGCUGGAGCUUGCUCUGGUGGAUUAGUGGCGAACGGGUGAGUAACACGUGAGCAACCUGCCCCUGACUCUGGGAUAACAGCCGGAAACGGCUGCUAAUACCGGAUAUGCACCAUGAACGCAUGUUCUGUGGUGGGAAAGAUUUUUCGGUUGGGGAUGGGCUCGCGGCCUAUCAGCUUGUUGGUGAGGUAAUGGCUCACCAAGGCGUCGACGGGUAGCCGGCCUGAGAGGGUGACCGGCCAAACGGGGAGUGGGAAAGGGCCCAGACCCCUAGGGGGGGAAGGAGGGGGAAAAAUUGAAAAAUGGGGAAAAGCUGGGGGAAGCAACGCCGGGGGGGGGAUGACGGCUUUGGGGUUGAAAACCUUUUUUAGAAGGAAAGAAGGGGGAGUGAGGGAAACGGCAAAAAAAGCCCGGGCAAAAUAGGU
RNAcentral lists this ribosomal RNA (468 nucleotides) under uncultured bacterium. RNAcentral describes it as "partial 16S ribosomal RNA". It matches the Rfam family "Bacterial small subunit ribosomal RNA", at positions 28 to 506 of the family's 1533-position model. The record is from RNAcentral.